Molecule: long non-coding RNA, 963 nt
Organism: Bubalus bubalis (water buffalo)
Lineage: Eukaryota; Metazoa; Chordata; Mammalia; Artiodactyla; Bovidae
Exons: 3
Source: RefSeq, a predicted model, not a curated record
AACCUGUUAAGGGAUUACAAAGAUCUUCAUUUGGCAAGUCUUUACAGGGUUUAUUUGAAAUGCAAACACCCACUUGAUGUUAAGAAUAGAGAGGGAAGAGGCACAGACAGGAGUGUGGAUAGGGUCCCUCCUUAACUGAACUUAAAUUCUGGUUAAACAAGUGGUAACAACAAAACCUGAGAAGCGUUAGGAUCAGAAACUCAGAGUGAGGGAAUUAUGUGUCAGGAACUCACAGGAGGAGGAAGGAAAGACUUCCUUAAGGAAAUGAGAAGUGAAGGAUUCUAGGCAUCAGCUGCACUUGAGAAAGAGCUCCAGACAGGUGAAAGAUUGUGGUUCCAAGGUCUGGAAGGAAAAGAGCUGGUAGUGGGGAAAGAUGGAAAGGUGGGAUGGUGGCCAGAUUCUGAAGUCGGCUUGGAGGCCAUCUCAAAGGGCACCAAGGGCACUGUCUCAAUAGCCUAAGCCACCAGACAGGAUGGCCCAGCGCUGCUUGUUAGUUGACCUGCCGGGACCAACUGUGACUCAUCUGUUUACUGCAGAGCAAAGUCUAGCCUCCUCAGCUCGCCCUGCGCCCCAAGCAGCACCUGGAGCAGCCGGCUCUCCAGCUAGAACAGCCCGGGCCGCGCACCCAGCCGAAGCUCAGAGCCGGUGCGAGGAGCGCGGCACUGCUGUCCGGCGAGGGUAGGCGCAGCGACGGCACGGACGAGGAGGCUGAGGACAGCAGGCCCAGGGUGAGGACCUCGCCGGGCACAUGGGCCACGCCGCUGCAGCGCGCUGAGUCCCUGGCCCCCCUGAGCACGCUGCACCUGGGGGACCCGCGGCCGGCCGCCCUGCUGCCCACCAAGCUCCACGACUGCAACAGGCAGGCGCAGCCCUGCCCAGCAAGCUCUUCCUCCGCAUUGAGUUUCACGGCGACGGGUUUGCUGAUUCAUCCCAUUCCAAUAUUUUAUAAAUAAGCUCUCAGAA